GACGAACGCUGGCGGCGUGCUUAACACAUGCAAGUCGAACGGAAAGGCCCUGCUUUUGUGGGGUGCUCGAGUGGCGAACGGGUGAGUAACACGUGAGUAACCUGCCCUUGACUUUGGGAUAACUUCAGGAAACUGGGGCUAAUACCGGAUAGGAGCUCCUGCUGCAUGGUGGGGGUUGGAAAGUUUCGGCGGUUGGGGAUGGACUCGCGGCUUAUCAGCUUGUUGGUGGGGUAGUGGCUUACCAAGGCUUUGACGGGUAGCCGGCCUGAGGGGGUGACCGGCCACAUUGGGCCUGAGCUGCGGCCCAGACUCCUACGGGAGGCAGCAGUGGGGAAUAUUGCACAAUGGGCGGAAGCCUGAUGCAGCAACGCCGCGUGCGGGAUGACGGCCUUCGGGUUGUAAACCGCUUUCGCCUGUGACGAAGCGUGAGUGACGGUAAUGGGUAAAGAAGCACCGGCUAACUACGAG
RNAcentral lists this ribosomal RNA (468 nucleotides) under uncultured bacterium. RNAcentral describes it as "partial 16S ribosomal RNA". It matches the Rfam family "Bacterial small subunit ribosomal RNA", at positions 28 to 507 of the family's 1533-position model. The record is from RNAcentral.